Molecule: non-coding RNA, 81 nt
Filed under: Candidatus Rokuibacteriota
Lineage: Bacteria
Description: Candidatus Rokubacteria c-di-GMP sequence
Rfam family: c-di-GMP-I-GGC riboswitch aptamer
Source: RNAcentral
CCCGAUAAGGGCACACCCGUCGCGAGGCGGGGCCGCAAAGCCACGGGUCAGACCUUUCGUCUGAUAGCCGGGUUGCCGAAG